ACUGCUCAGUAACACGUGGAUAACCUGCCCAAGGGUCCGGGAUAACCCCGGGAAACUGGGGAUAAUACCGGAUGGAUCACUAGUGCUGGAAUGCUUGGUGGUCGAAAGGUAACGCCUUUGGAUGGGUCUGCGGCGGAUUAGGUUGACGCCGGUGUAACGUACCGGCGUGCCUGUAAUCCGUACGGGUUGUGGGAGCAAGAGCCCGGAGAUGGAUUCUGAGACACGAAUCCAGGCCCUACGGGGCGCAGCAGGCGCGAAAACUCUACAAUGCAGGCAACUGCGAUAGGGGGACAUCGAGUGGCAUCCACCUUGGGUGCCUGUCCAACCGUCUAAAAAACGGUUGUUAGCAAGGGCCGGGUAAGACCGGUGCCAGCCGCCGCGGUAAUACCGGCGGCUCGAGUGGUGGCCGAUAUUAUUGAGUCUAAAGGGUCCGUAGCCGGCUUUGCAAGUCCCCUGGGAAAUCCAGCGGCUUAACCGUUGGGCUUUCAUGGGAUACUACAUUGCUUGGGACUGGGAGAGGUAGGAGGUACUCGGGGGGUAGGGGUGAAAUCCUGUAAUCCUCCGGGGACCACCGGUGGCGAAGGCGUCCUACCAGAACAGGUCCGACGGUGAGGGACGAAAGCUAGGGGCACGAACCGGAUUAGAUACCCGGGUAGUCCUAGCCGUAAACGAUGCCCGCUAGGUGUCACGACGGUCGUGAAUCGUCGUGGUGCCGUAGGGAAGCCGCGAAGCGGGCCACUUGGGAAGUACGGCCGCAAGGCUGAAACUUAAAGGAAUUGGCGGGGGAGCAC
Molecule: ribosomal RNA, 791 nt
Filed under: uncultured archaeon
Lineage: Archaea
Description: bacterial SSU rRNA
Rfam family: Archaeal small subunit ribosomal RNA
Source: RNAcentral